RNAcentral lists this long non-coding RNA (5674 nucleotides) under Sus scrofa (pig). RNAcentral describes it as "lncRNA (ENSSSCG00030020207.1)". The record is from RNAcentral. Lineage: Eukaryota; Metazoa; Chordata; Mammalia; Artiodactyla; Suidae.
UUUUUUUUUUUUUUUUUUGGUCUUUUCUAGGGCUGCAUCUGUGGCAUAGGGAGGUUCCCAGGCUAGGGGUCUAAUUGGAGCUGUAACCGCUGGCCUACUCCAGAGGCACAGCAACGCGGGAACCAAGCCGCAUCUGCAACCUACACCACAGCUCAUGGCAACGCCGGAUCUUUAAUCCACUGAGCGAGGCCAGGGAUCGAACUUGCAACCUCAUGGGUCCUAGUUGGAUUGGUUAACCGCUGAGCCACCACAGGAACUCCUCUCCUGUUACUCUUGAUUUUGCACAUUGGGAUCCUGUUCAAUACACUUCGCUGCAUUUGAAACCCCUCCCAGUCAAUGGGGGCAUGCUUUUUGAAAGGCUGCAUGACAUUCCACACUGGGGAGAGAGGCAUGGCUGUGCUCACACCUACACCCCGCCUGCUGGGCACGGGCCUGGCCGUCUCAGUUCCAGAUCCACUAGAGACCACGGUGCUGUAAGCGUCCCUGAACGCAUACCCAUCCUUCCUUUCUUGAGCUUUGAUUGUAACAGGCUGAAUUUCUACCUCUUUUGCCUCAGGGAAGAAAACCAAGAGAUAUAGAUGGAGGGGGUUUGCCUGGAAUCACACAUCCAAUAAGUGUUCAAAGCAAGUGCACUGGAUGCUGUAUCACAUACUCUUUAUUCCACCAGACACUCUGUCCUUCUUCUAGCCUUACUGCUAGAAAUGUUUCUUUCCAUCAGAUUCAGUAAAGGCUUGCCCUGAAAUCCUUCCUCCCCUGGGACAGAGGUGGUCAAGUGCCUGGCUGUCACAGAACAUCUUGGUGGCUCUGGGUGGAGGGAAUUCAAUGCAGACGAGGCAUUCAGGGCUGCUGCUAGUGCCAGCAUGUAGCAAGCACUUGGGGAAGUCGUGCUAAAAAUACUACAUCUGCUCAAUAAAUGGGUAUUGAAUGCCGACAGUGUUCCAGGCUGGCAGGCGACAGACUUUGUUCAGCCCUGUUCUAAGAUGGCAGGAACAGCCUUGGGCCUCAUUCAUUUCCAUCUUGGAGGCUUACUGGCUGGGCCUGGAGUCCCUGGGGUUGUUAUCAAGGGGAUUCAAGGUCCCCCAGACAGGUCAGACCAGACUGGCCACAAAAUUCUGUGGCCCUGCCUCAUGAGCCACACUGUCCUCAUCUGUGGACUGGGAAGGGGAGAGGGUAAAAACUGGACUUGAGGGACCUUGGACUUCAAACCUGCCAUGUCACCAGUGGGAGUAAGGUGCAGAGCUGCAAAGAGAUAUUUCCAAAGUGUCCCGGGAGCUGGUGAUGGGGUUGGGGUACAAGUCCCUUCUGGGGGGCUUCUAGCCUUAUUGUUCUUUGUUCUGUGCUGCUGCCAUUUCAACCCUGUGCACAUGUGUGCCCGUUUUCUUUUCCUCUCUACAAACCUGGAUGAAAUACACACUGAUGAAAACUGUGGGCUGUGAGAACAGGCAGGCCUGAGUUUGAGUCUUAGCCUCCUACCCAUACAGUGACCUCAGAAAAUUAUUUAACCUCUGUGGGUUCAUAACAAUGGCCAGUCCCCCAGAGUUCUGAGAAUUCCAUGAAACAAUGACUUGAAAGGGCCUAGCAGGAAGCCAACCACAUAGUAUGCACUCACUAAAUGCUGAUCAUGUCUUUUAGUUCCCAUUUGCAUCUUUGAAUUCUUGCAGAACCUCUCUGCAAUUCCCAGAGUCUCCAGUACAACUUGUUUUCCCCAAACAAUAGCUCUCUUGACGUCUGAGGAGAAUGGGGGCCUCUGUGAAGCUCUUCCAAACCCUCUAUUGCGGGCUUUCAUCCACUGAACCCCUGAGGAAUUGUCGGCCUGCACUUAACUUCUCCAGAAGCAAGACUCUGCUGAUCCCUUUCUGGUGAACAGCAAUGAACUUGUCAAGAGACCAGCCAGGAGGGAGGUGGUGAAGGGGCAGGAGCGGGGCAGGCAGGUGUACAAGCCAGCAAGGAGGGCUGGGGCCAUCCAUCUUGAUUCUUUUCUCCGUGUCCAAGUGUAAAGGGAUUUGUGUCUACAAGGCUGUCUUCGCCAACCUCAGGGAAGAAGAGAAGUUGUUUAAUUGGAAAGUUUUACUUCUACCACAGAGGAAGAUUCUGGGACAAUUAGGGAUAUUGUAAUUUCUUAUUAAGGUCAAAAAGAAAUGAUAGGUAGAGCCCAUGAGUCACUUUCCAACAUGGUGAGAAAUGGAGUUGCUGGGUGACUGGGUGCGAGUGAGCCUGCGUGCCCCCAGUCUUAACGAUGUGGAGGGGGGGCUGUGGGAAGGGCGCUGGCUGCCUCCUUCCUGCCUCUGGAAUGCUCACCUUUUUGGAAACCCAAUAAAAUUAAUUCCAAGCUCAGAUUAUUAAUUCGUCCUGGUGUGUGAAUAAUUCAUUGUGGCAGAAGCCCUGUCACAUCUUCACGUUUUGGAGCGCAUAGCCUCUCCCGCUCUUGCCUUCGGAGAGAUGGCUUUCCCUUCUAACCUGCCCAAGUGUGAGAGGGACCAAGCACUCAGCCAUCAAUUCCCCAAGGAGGUCUGAGCCCUGAUUUGAGCCUGAUGCCUAUUUCGAAUCCAGCAGCCAGAGUGUAGGUGGCUGCAGUGAACUGAGGUGACCUGCUGAAGUCAGGAUGCUUCUUAAGGACCAGGGGGACUUGCUCGCCAGGCUCAUGGCUGCACAAGGAUGUAAAAGGAAUUCCUGUCGUGACCAAACGCCACUGCCCAUUACAGUGAGGUCCUCUGAGAGGACCUCCAUUGGCCUGCCCAUCAAUUAUGCAUUUCCCCAGCACACCUUCCAGGCCAGCUUCUCGUGUCAGGAUUGUUCCCUGACUGCUCCCCUCUGAGCAAGUGUCUCCACUCUGCUCCUGGGGAAGAGAUAAGAGAUGAGGCACUACCAGCUGAUAGCCUCCAGGGAGCCCAGUGCCAAAGCCUAAGUGGAACAAGGGAAGGGAUGAGUGGGUCCAGAAGCUUCUCUCUUGAACAGGAAUAAGGAGCAUGGGCCAUCCUCUGUUAAACCAGUGGCUCUGGGGAUCUUUCUUGCUUUGAACACAUGUUGUCACUGAACUGUGUGCUUACAAAGGACCCUGGGAUGCAGACGGGUGAGCAAGCUGCCCUUCUGAUAGAUGAGGCAUCUGCCACUUGAAGAGGCACAGGCAGUGUGUAGCUUUGCCUGGCAGGUUCUGGUCGGGCUUGAAAUAGUCCCUAAUCUGGUGGGCAAAUAAUUCUCGUAUCUCUUCUUUUACCAAGGAGGAUGCUCACCCCAACCCUGCGUAUUCGUUACCCGCACUCAGGACAGGAGUCCUGGCCACCGCUUGGAUCUGGUUCUUGGGCUAAGGAGCUUCUGCUCUGAGCUGGCAGCAGACACCCAAUAAGGUCUCAGUGACAGGGCCCUGCUAAGGGAUAAGGAAGAUACGUGAGGACCCAGGGAAGAGCAGCCUGCUGACUACAAGUUCCUCAAGGGCAAGGACCACGUCUGAUGAAUGUCCCACUGCAGCCCAUCCCACAGCACAGCUGUAUCGUGAUAAAAGCAGAACGAGAGAAUAAAUGAAGGAAUGCAAGGCAGACCCCAAGGAAAGCCAAUGGAGAGGUAAAACCAAGCAGCCCCUGGAGGCCUGAGGAGAGGGUGCUAUCUCCAUCUGGGGGAUCUAGGAUGACUUCCUGGAGGAGGUGGCAUUGGAACUUUGGGGAUUCUCUGGCUGUGAAUUCAGAGGGUUCUCCUGCCUCAUUUAGACAUUCAAAGACGACUUACUAAUUAACAACUGGAGAAAGAAUUCUGCAUGCAGACUGUUUGUACCUUAGCCGAGUGUCCCCAAACUUGGGAAACACAGUAGCACUUUAUGUAGGUUUCCAGUUGAGCCUGGAAUCAGCGUGAAUUGUUGGGAGGGGUUUGGGGAGUAGGGUAGACAGGCACAGGCUCUGCAGAGCCUGGCACCACACCCCUCUCUCUUCCCUUCAGAGCACAUCUUUCCAGAGACCAUCACAUUUGAUCUUGCCGAUUAUUUGGUCAACCUCUUUUCUCUGGGCAGCGCUGAUGGGGAACAACAUAUGCUUGGCCUUCUGCCUUCCUCUCCUAUACACACCCCUACACACACCCACAUCACACCCAUUAAUCUCCAUGACAACAAGGGGAGAGAGCGUGGCCUGAUGCUUCCAGGCCUCAAUACGCGGACUUAGAGCCUAGAGACUUAGCAGUUCUGGCCCUGCAGCCUCACAAAGAAGGACUAGAGUGAUUGCAGAGGCCAGGCAUGGAGAAGGGAGGGCUUUGGGGUUGCUUGUGCCCUCAGAGAGGAGGGGUCAUUGCCCUGGGAGCCCUACUGCUGGCCGUUUCCUGAUGAAGAGGUUGGUCAUUUUGCCCCCAAACACCCUCAUCCCUUGUCAGGGAUAAGCAGCGUUUGGGGGAAGGAGGGCCGGCUUUGUAUCCAAUCCCAGCUCUACCAUUUCCCUCUUCUUGUGAGUUCUCUGAACCUCUGGAUCUGCAUCUAUAAAAGGACAACUCCUUGAAAGGACUUCUGUGACUUCUAGAAAUUGGCAUUAAAAAAAAAAAUCUAUCAACGCCUCUGUUUUAGAAACUAACCAAAUGAGAUUGGUCAAAAUCAGAGAUAGGGUGUGAGGGGUGGAGAACGUGCAAACCGGCAAAAUAGGGAAACAACUAGUCAGUCUAAUUAAGAAAAAGAGUAGAGACAAAACAAUACCAAAAUUAGGAGUGGGAAAGGGAAUAUGGCCAUUGGUAUUACACAGAGGAUGUUAUAAAACUAAUAUGAGGAUAUAUGAACCAACUCUGUAAAAUAUGUUGAAGACAAGAUCAAAUGCAUAUUUUUCUAUGAAAACAUAUACUUAACUUUAAAAAUGGCAGUUUCAGACUUCCCUUGUGGCUCACAACAUAACUGCAUAGCGUUGCUUCUACAGUGGCUGUGGCUUAACUCUUGGCUCGGGUAUUUCAUAUGCCACAGGUGUGGCCACUUGUUUAAAAAAUAAAAUAAAAAAAUUUUAAAUGACAAGUUCAUCAGAGCAAAACCCUGGGAGAAAGUGGAAGAAAAAGUCAAUGAAUUACAUCUCCAACUAAUUUGCAUCCGUGUAGGAAAACAGGCUAAAAUAGUUUCACAGACUGCUUCUUUUUUUUUCUCUUCAAAAUUUCAAGGAGUUAAUCAUUACCAAGCUAUACAAAGUAUUCCAGAAUGUUUUUUUAAUAAAUCAAUACCUAAUUCAUUUUACAAGUUAGAAUAUUGCUAAUAAUCAUGUUUGACAACGAUAAUAUCCAAAAAAUAAAUCUACAAGAUAUCACCAGUGGAUUUACAUGUAAAGAUUCUAACUAAAGUAUGCAUAUAUAUCAAAUUUCUGAAGUGUAUUAAAAGGAUAAUAUACUAUGAUUAAGUAGGGUAUAAUCUGGGUAUGGUAGGUUUAAAAAUCAAUCAACAUAAUUUAUCAAGUUAAAAAUAGUAAAGUAUUGAGUUCCCAUUGUGUCUCAGUGGGUUAAGAACCUGACAUAGUCUCUGAAGAUGUGGGUUCAAUUCCUGGCUUUGCUCAGUGGGUAAAGGAUCCGGCAUGCCGCAAGCUGCAGCAUAAGAUUGCAGAUGAGGCUUGGAUGUGAUGUUGCUGUGGCUGUGGUAUAGGCCAGCAGCUGCAGCUCCGAUUCAAUGCCUAGCCUAGGAACUUCCAUAUGCUGUAGGUGUGGCCAUGAAAAGAAUAAUAAAAAAUAAAACAAA